RNAcentral lists this ribosomal RNA (992 nucleotides) under Salmonella enterica. RNAcentral's name for it is "partial 23S ribosomal RNA". It matches the Rfam family "Bacterial large subunit ribosomal RNA", at positions 1194 to 2168 of the family's 2925-position model. The record is from RNAcentral. Lineage: Bacteria; Pseudomonadati; Pseudomonadota; Gammaproteobacteria; Enterobacterales; Enterobacteriaceae.
CCGAAGCUGCGGCAGCGACACUGUGUGUUGUUGGGUAGGGGAGCGUUCUGUAAGCCUGUGAAGGUGUGUCGUGAGGCAUGCUGGAGGUAUCAGAAGUGCGAAUGCUGACAUAAGUAACGAUAAAGCGGGUGAAAAGCCCGCUCGCCGGAAGACCAAGGGUUCCUGUCCAACGUUAAUCGGGGCAGGGUGAGUCGACCCCUAAGGCGAGGCCGAAAGGCGUAGUCGAUGGGAAACGGGUUAAUAUUCCCGUACUUGGUGUUACUGCGAAGGGGGGACGGAGAAGGCUAUGUUGGCCGGGCGACGGUUGUCCCGGUUUAAGCGUGUAGGUGUGUGUUCCAGGUAAAUCCGGUUCACUUUAACACUGAGGCGUGACGACGAGGCACUACGGUGCUGAAGCAACAAAUGCCCUGCUUCCAGGAAAAGCCUCUAAGCAUCAGGUAACAUCAAAUCGUACCCCAAACCGACACAGGUGGUCAGGUAGAGAAUACCAAGGCGCUUGAGAGAACUCGGGUGAAGGAACUAGGCAAAAUGGUGCCGUAACUUCGGGAGAAGGCACGCUGACACGUAGGUGAAGUGAUUUACUCAUGGAGCUGAAGUCAGUCGAAGAUACCAGCUGGCUGCAACUGUUUAUUAAAAACACAGCACUGUGCAAACACGAAAGUGGACGUAUACGGUGUGACGCCUGCCCGGUGCCGGAAGGUUAAUUGAUGGGGUCAGCGCAAGCGAAGCUCCUGAUCGAAGCCCCGGUAAACGGCGGCCGUAACUAUAACGGUCCUAAGGUAGCGAAAUUCCUUGUCGGGUAAGUUCCGACCUGCACGAAUGGCGUAAUGAUGGCCAGGCUGUCUCCACCCGAGACUCAGUGAAAUUGAACUCGCUGUGAAGAUGCAGUGUACCCGCGGCAAGACGGAAAGACCCCGUGAACCUUUACUAUAGCUUGACACUGAACAUUGAGCCUUGAUGUGUAGGAUAGGUGGGAGGCUUUGAAGUGUGGA